CAGAGGUCGCCCUUCUCCUGGACCUCAGGGAGGAAUGGCCCCGUUGCUGUGGAGAAAGGUGGAGGGGAAGGCUGAGAGGUGGUGUCUCCAGCCUCCUUGGACAAGGGAGGAGCUUCGCUGCUUUUUUAAGGUACCAUACAGAGAUUUUUGGAGGGUAUUGUGUACAACUAGUCACCUAGGUAGUCAGAGUUAUUCAGAUACAAAAUGCCUCUACCCUUGGCGAGAGCCUAGUAAACAUUACCUUCUUUCUCCACACAUUUAUGUAAAGUAGAACGUUAGAGUCAGCUUUGUGAGUUUCAUUAUGCUCAGUAAGGAAUAAGGGAAAUAGAGUUUACAUAGCGCCAUGACAGGAAUGAUAAAACAUCCGUUAGAUCGCACCGAAGCUGGAGGACGAAAGAGGAAUUUUGUCUCACAGAAAAUGCCUCUCCUGCCUGUGUAAUCGUGCAGUCAUAUAUAAGUCUAUAAGUACAUUUGGCUUGGCUCUGGAAAUGUUUACCCUGAAGACACAUAGAGCAGAUAGCUCUUCAGUUGCUGAAUUUAAGUCCUGUCUGAAAAGGAAAGGGAGAAGGUGUGGCUCCAGCAUGA
This 585-nucleotide long non-coding RNA is filed under the name Pan troglodytes (chimpanzee). Its description in RNAcentral is "long non-coding RNA NONPTRT008657". Lineage: Eukaryota; Metazoa; Chordata; Mammalia; Primates; Hominidae. The record is from RNAcentral.